AUUGAACGCUGGCGGCAGGCCUAACACAUGCAAGUCGAGCGGAUGAAGGGAGCUUGCUCCUGGAUUCAGCGGCGGACGGGUGAGUAAUGCCUAGGAAUCUGCCUGGUAGUGGGGGAUAACGUCCGGAAACGGGCGCUAAUACCGCAUACGUCCUGAGGGAGAAAGUGGGGGAUCUUCGGACCUCACGCUAUCAGAUGAGCCUAGGUCGGAUUAGCUAGUUGGUGGGGUAAAGGCCUACCAAGGCGACGAUCCGCAACUGGUCUGAGAGGAUGAUCAGUCACACUGGAACUGAGACACGGUCAAGACUCCUACGGGAGGCAGCAGUGGGGAAUAUUGGACAAUGGGCGAAAGCCUGAUCCAGCCAUGCCGCGUGUGUGAAGAAGGUCUUCGGAUUGUAAAGCACUUUAAGUUGGGAGGAAGGGCAGUAAGUUAAUACCUUGCUGUUUUGACGUUACCAACAGAAUAAGCACCGGCUAACUUCGUG
Molecule: ribosomal RNA, 484 nt
Filed under: uncultured bacterium
Lineage: Bacteria
Description: partial 16S ribosomal RNA
Rfam family: Bacterial small subunit ribosomal RNA
Source: RNAcentral